AUGAACGCUGGCGGCGUGCCUAAUACAUGCAAGUCGGGCGAACGGACGAGAAGCUUGCUUUUCUGAUGUUAGCGGCGGACGGGUGAGUAACACGUGGAUAACCUACCUAUAAGACUGGGAUAACUUCGGGAAACCGGAGCUAAUACCGGAUAAUAUUUUGAACCGCAUGGUUCAAAAGUGAAAGACGGUCUUGCUGUCACUUAUAGAUGGAUCCGCGCUGCAUUAGCUAGUUGGUAAGGUAACGGCUUACCAAGGCAACGAUGCAUAGCCGACCUGAGAGGGUGAUCGGCCACACUGGAACUGAGACACGGUCCAGACUCCUACGGGAGGCAGCAGUAGGGAAUCUUCCGCAAUGGGCGAAAGCCUGACGGAGCAACGCCGCGUGAGUGAUGAAGGUCUUCGGAUCGUAAAACUCUGUUAUUAGGGAAGAACAUAUGUGUAAGUAACUGUGCACAUCUUGACGGUACCUAAUCAGAAAGCCACGGCUAACUACGUG
RNAcentral lists this ribosomal RNA (496 nucleotides) under uncultured bacterium. RNAcentral's name for it is "partial 16S ribosomal RNA". It matches the Rfam family "Bacterial small subunit ribosomal RNA", at positions 29 to 507 of the family's 1533-position model. The record is from RNAcentral.